RNAcentral lists this ribosomal RNA (652 nucleotides) under Sarcocystis hjorti. RNAcentral's name for it is "SSU rRNA". It matches the Rfam family "Eukaryotic small subunit ribosomal RNA", at positions 455 to 1077 of the family's 1831-position model. Lineage: Eukaryota; Apicomplexa; Conoidasida; Eucoccidiorida; Sarcocystidae. The record is from RNAcentral.
CCCAGGGAGGUAGUGACAAGAAAUAACAACACUGGAAAUUUUAUUUCUAGUGAUUGGAAUGAUGGGAAUUUAAACCCCUUUCAGAGUAACAAUUGGAGGGCAAGUCUGGUGCCAGCAGCCGCGGUAAUUCCAGCUCCAAUAGCGUAUAUUAAAGUUGUUGCAGUUAAAAAGCUCGUAGUUGGAUGUCUGCUGGAAGCAAUCAGUCCGCCCUAUUUGUAGGGUGUGCACUUGAUGAAUUCUGGCAUCUAUGUCCUAAUGUGAUAGAUACGGCGGUGUAUAUGGGUUAAUCCUAUAUACCCGUUUGUAUAUUAUAUUGGGAUAAUACCGUUACUUUGAGAAAAUUAGAGUGUUUGAAGCAGGCUAAUUGCCUUGAAUACUGCAGCAUGGAAUAACAACAUAGGAUUUCGGUUCUAUUUUGUUGGUUUCUAGGACUGAAAUAAUGAUUAAUAGGGACAGUUGGGGGCAUUCGUAUUUAACUGUCAGAGGUGAAAUUCUUAGAUUUGUUAAAGACGAACUACUGCGAAAGCAUUUGCCAAAGAUGUUUUCAUUAAUCAAGAACAAAAGUUAGGGGCUCGAAGACGAUCAGAUACCGUCGUAGUCUUAACCAUAAACUAUGCCGACUAGAGAUAGGAAAAUGUCAUUUUUCUGACUU